This 75-nucleotide transfer RNA is filed under the name Caudoviricetes sp. RNAcentral's name for it is "tRNA-Asn". It matches the Rfam family "tRNA". Rfam says of the family: Transfer RNA (tRNA) molecules are approximately 80 nucleotides in length. Lineage: Duplodnaviria; Heunggongvirae; Uroviricota; Caudoviricetes. The record is from RNAcentral.
UCCCCAGUAGCUCAAUGGCAGAGCAAUCGGCUGUUAAUCGAGUUGUUGUAGGUUCGAGUCCUACAUGGGGAGCCA